Molecule: ribosomal RNA, 774 nt
Filed under: uncultured Moraxellaceae bacterium
Lineage: Bacteria; Pseudomonadati; Pseudomonadota; Gammaproteobacteria; Moraxellales; Moraxellaceae
Description: SSU rRNA
Rfam family: Bacterial small subunit ribosomal RNA
Source: RNAcentral
AGCGGCGGACGGGUGAGUAAUACUUAGGAAUCUGCCUAUUAAUGGGGGACAACAUCUCGAAAGGGAUGCUAAUACCGCAUACGCCCUACGGGGGAAAGCAGGGGAUCACUUGUGACCUUGCGUUAAUAGAUGAGCCUAAGUCGGAUUAGCUAGUUGGUGGGGUAAAGGCCUACCAAGGCGACGAUCUGUAGCGGGUCUGAGAGGAUGAUCCGCCACACUGGGACUGAGACACGGCCCAGACUCCUACGGGAGGCAGCAGUGGGGAAUAUUGGACAAUGGGGGGAACCCUGAUCCAGCCAUGCCGCGUGUGUGAAGAAGGCCUUAUGGUUGUAAAGCACUUUAAGCGAGGAGGAGGCUCUCUUGGUUAAUACCCAAGAAGAGUGGACGUUACUCGCAGAAUAAGCACCGGCUAACUCUGUGCCAGCAGCCGCGGUAAUACAGAGGGUGCGAGCGUUAAUCGGAUUUACUGGGCGUAAAGCGUGCGUAGGCGGCUUUUUAAGUCGGAUGUGAAAUCCCCGAGCUUAACUUGGGAAUUGCAUUCGAUACUGGGAAGCUAGAGUAUGGGAGAGGAUGGUAGAAUUCCAGGUGUAGCGGUGAAAUGCGUAGAGAUCUGGAGGAAUACCGAUGGCGAAGGCAGCCAUCUGGCCUAAUACUGACGCUGAGGUACGAAAGCAUGGGGAGCAAACAGGAUUAGAUACCCUGGUAGUCCAUGCCGUAAACGAUGUCUACUAGCCGUUGGGGCCUUUGAGGCUUUAGUGGCGCAGCUAACGCGAU